UGGGGAAUUUUGGACAAUGGGGGCAACCCUGAUCCAGCAAUGCCGCGUGUGUGAAGAAGGCCUUCGGGUUGUAAAGCACUUUUGUCCGGAAAGAAAACCUCUCUGUUAAUACCGGGGGGGGAUGACGGUACCGGAAGAAUAAGCACCGGCUAACUACGUGCCAGCAGCCGCGGUAAUACGUAGGGUGCGAGCGUUAAUCGGAAUUACUGGGCGUAAAGCGUGCGCAGGCGGUGAUGUAAGACCGAUGUGAAAUCCCCGGGCUUAACCUGGGAACUGCAUUGGUGACUGCAUCGCUCGAGUAUGGCAGAGGGGGGUAGAAUUCCACGUGUAGCAGUGAAAUGCGUAGAGAUGUGGAGGAAUACCGAUGGCGAAGGCAGCCCCCUGGGUCAAUACUGACGCUCAUGCACGAAAGCGUGGGGAGCAAACAGGAUUAGAUACCCGCGUAGUCC
RNAcentral lists this ribosomal RNA (449 nucleotides) under uncultured bacterium. RNAcentral describes it as "bacterial SSU rRNA". It matches the Rfam family "Bacterial small subunit ribosomal RNA", at positions 355 to 796 of the family's 1533-position model. The record is from RNAcentral.